UACAGAGGUCUCAAGCGUUGUUCGGAUUCAUUGGGCGUAAAGGGUGCGUAGGUGGCGCGGUAAGUCGGGUGUGAAAUCUCGGAGCUUAACUCCGAAAUUGCAUUCGAUACUGCCGUGCUCGAGGACUGGAGAGGAGACUGGAAAUUCAUGGUGUAGCAGUGAAAUGCGUAGAGAUCAUGAGGAAGACCAGUGGCGAAAGGCGG
Molecule: ribosomal RNA, 203 nt
Filed under: uncultured bacterium
Lineage: Bacteria
Description: partial 16S ribosomal RNA
Rfam family: Bacterial small subunit ribosomal RNA
Source: RNAcentral